CGGUGUUCAACUGGCGUGUCCGCGGGACGACCUGCCGGUGGGCUUAGCCCGCAAGGGGGGCCCAACUUCAAAUCCCAUCUCGGUGCUCUUCACUGAGUGUGUAGGUGGGCCGGCGCGUUUACUUUUAACAAAUUAUAGUGUUUAAAACAGGCUAAAACUUCUCCUGAAUACUGUGUGCAUGGAAAAAUGGAAUAGGACCUCUCUUCUAUUUUGUUGGUUUUCGGAACCCCCAGGUAAUGAUUUAUAGGAACGGAUGGGGGGGUUCGUAGUGCGACGUGAGAGGUGAAAUUCUUGGAUCGUCGCAAGACAGACAGAAGCGAAAGCAUUUGCCAAAAACGCUUUCAUUGAUCAAGAACGAAAGUUAGAGGUUCGAAGGCGAUCAGAUACCGCCCUAGUUCUAACCAUAAACGAUGCCAGCUAGCGAUCCGUCGACGUUCCUCCGAUGACUCGACGGGCAGCUUCCGGGAAACCAAAGCUUUUGGGUUCCGGGGGAAGUAUGGUUGCAAAGCUGAAACUUAAAGGAAUUGACGGAAGGGCACCCCCAGGAGUGGAGCCUGCGGCUUAAUUUGACUCAACACGGGAAACCUCCCCAGGCCCGGACACCGGAAGGAUUGACAGAUUGAGAGCUCUUUCUUGAUUCGGUGGGUGGUGGUGCAUGGCCGUUUUUAGUUGGUGGAGCGAUUUGUCUGGUUAAUUCCGAUAACGAACGAGACUCUAGCCUGCUAACUAGGCGUAUUUUCGACAUCUCAAAGGUCCGUCGUCCCGGCCCUCGGGUCGUGGGCGUGCGCGAUUUUUACUGUCGGCGUACUAUCAAUUCUUCUUAGAGGGACAGGUGGCUUCUACCCGCACGAGAUUGAGCAAUAACAGGUCUGUGAUG
Molecule: ribosomal RNA, 877 nt
Filed under: uncultured eukaryote
Lineage: Eukaryota
Description: SSU rRNA
Rfam family: Eukaryotic small subunit ribosomal RNA
Source: RNAcentral